RNAcentral lists this ribosomal RNA (1540 nucleotides) under Enterobacter ludwigii. RNAcentral's name for it is "16S ribosomal RNA". It matches the Rfam family "Bacterial small subunit ribosomal RNA". RNAcentral also lists the same sequence under 1 other name. The record is from RNAcentral. Lineage: Bacteria; Pseudomonadati; Pseudomonadota; Gammaproteobacteria; Enterobacterales; Enterobacteriaceae.
AAAUUGAAGAGUUUGAUCAUGGCUCAGAUUGAACGCUGGCGGCAGGCCUAACACAUGCAAGUCGAACGGUAGCACAGAGAGCUUGCUCUCGGGUGACGAGUGGCGGACGGGUGAGUAAUGUCUGGGAAACUGCCUGAUGGAGGGGGAUAACUACUGGAAACGGUAGCUAAUACCGCAUAACGUCGCAAGACCAAAGAGGGGGACCUUCGGGCCUCUUGCCAUCAGAUGUGCCCAGAUGGGAUUAGCUAGUAGGUGGGGUAAUGGCUCACCUAGGCGACGAUCCCUAGCUGGUCUGAGAGGAUGACCAGCCACACUGGAACUGAGACACGGUCCAGACUCCUACGGGAGGCAGCAGUGGGGAAUAUUGCACAAUGGGCGCAAGCCUGAUGCAGCCAUGCCGCGUGUAUGAAGAAGGCCUUCGGGUUGUAAAGUACUUUCAGCGGGGAGGAAGGUGUUGCGGUUAAUAACCGCAGCAAUUGACGUUACCCGCAGAAGAAGCACCGGCUAACUCCGUGCCAGCAGCCGCGGUAAUACGGAGGGUGCAAGCGUUAAUCGGAAUUACUGGGCGUAAAGCGCACGCAGGCGGUCUGUCAAGUCGGAUGUGAAAUCCCCGGGCUCAACCUGGGAACUGCAUUCGAAACUGGCAGGCUAGAGUCUUGUAGAGGGGGGUAGAAUUCCAGGUGUAGCGGUGAAAUGCGUAGAGAUCUGGAGGAAUACCGGUGGCGAAGGCGGCCCCCUGGACAAAGACUGACGCUCAGGUGCGAAAGCGUGGGGAGCAAACAGGAUUAGAUACCCUGGUAGUCCACGCCGUAAACGAUGUCGACUUGGAGGUUGUGCCCUUGAGGCGUGGCUUCCGGAGCUAACGCGUUAAGUCGACCGCCUGGGGAGUACGGCCGCAAGGUUAAAACUCAAAUGAAUUGACGGGGGCCCGCACAAGCGGUGGAGCAUGUGGUUUAAUUCGAUGCAACGCGAAGAACCUUACCUACUCUUGACAUCCAGAGAACUUAGCAGAGAUGCUUUGGUGCCUUCGGGAACUCUGAGACAGGUGCUGCAUGGCUGUCGUCAGCUCGUGUUGUGAAAUGUUGGGUUAAGUCCCGCAACGAGCGCAACCCUUAUCCUUUGUUGCCAGCGGUCCGGCCGGGAACUCAAAGGAGACUGCCAGUGAUAAACUGGAGGAAGGUGGGGAUGACGUCAAGUCAUCAUGGCCCUUACGAGUAGGGCUACACACGUGCUACAAUGGCGCAUACAAAGAGAAGCGAACUCGCGAGAGCAAGCGGACCUCAUAAAGUGCGUCGUAGUCCGGAUUGGAGUCUGCAACUCGACUCCAUGAAGUCGGAAUCGCUAGUAAUCGUAGAUCAGAAUGCUACGGUGAAUACGUUCCCGGGCCUUGUACACACCGCCCGUCACACCAUGGGAGUGGGUUGCAAAAGAAGUAGGUAGCUUAACCUUCGGGAGGGCGCUUACCACUUUGUGAUUCAUGACUGGGGUGAAGUCGUAACAAGGUAACCGUAGGGGAACCUGCGGUUGGAUCACCUCCUUA